Octopus bimaculoides (California two-spot octopus) is the source of this 2179-nucleotide long non-coding RNA. RefSeq lists it as uncharacterized. NCBI's taxonomy places the organism in Eukaryota, Metazoa, Mollusca, Cephalopoda, Octopoda, Octopodidae. The record is from RefSeq and is a predicted model, not a curated record.
GAUGCGGGGGUUUAGUGACGUAAGUUUUGCAAGAGAAUAUGCUCAAGCUCAGCGGUGCUAUUAACUGAUCUUCCAGCUGGGAACAGGGAAAAGAGCAAAGUUUUCGUCAUGAUGGUGUAAUGUUUAGAUGUGUAUGUGUGCAUAAUAUGUAUUUGGUCUGGCAACUGUGACUGACUGCUUUCUACAGUAUAAAGUAUCCAUAUUCUUUCAAAGUACCAGCCAAGUGCCGAGAUCGAUGCAGUUGACCAACACCUAUCCCCUCAAAAUUGCUGACCUUGUGCCUAAAACUGAAAUCAUUAUUUGGUUCGAUAUUUUCCUCUGAAAAAUACUUUGAAAUUAAAGUUUUGUGGAAAGAUUGACAGAGACGGCUGUAACAGCAUCUUCAACACACCUUACUAAAUACUGCUUGUUAUAGCCUAUUAACAACUGCUUGUCACAAUCCCAUCUUAGUGACCAACUACUUGACACAGAUGAACAUCAAAACUGACCCUUACCUUCCCCAGGGACGGACCUGGUGGGGGGGGGGGGUACCUGCACCCCUCCAGAAAAGAAGUGCGCCCUUCUAAAUGUUAUUACGCCCUUUUCUCCUGGAAUUGUAUUCCCUUCUGACCUUGUGCCCUUCCUUCGAAAACUUCCUGAGACCUCACCUGCUCCAUACAGUCCAGAUCUUGCUCCCUGUGACUUUUGGUUGUUCCCCAGGAUGAAGGGGGACCUCAGGGGCUAUCGUUUUGAAAACAUUGAGAAAAUGGAGGCUGUGACAAGAGUCCUGGACAUCUUCACUUUGGAGGACUUCCAUGAGACCUUCACAAAGUAGCUAGGACGCUACAAGUACGUUGAAGUCAGUGGAUCCUACUUUGGAGGAGAUUAGAGUUUGCACUUCUAUGAAAUUAAUGUUUCUCCUGAAAAAACUUUUACAAUGCACCUCAGAUAUUCGUUUUACAUUGAGAUAUCCUUUCAGAAAGAGCAGAAAACCCCGCUAGCUAAACUAAUUCUUAGGAACUUAAUACUUUCCUUCAUUAAUCUAUAUGAAAUCCCAUCACGUGAGUGCAGUUUGUUUUCGAUAGCAAGCUAUGAGAAUGUGCGCACUGCCUGCGCGCCUAGAAUCAAAUGUAUUACCUAUCUUAAUGUCGGUAAAAAUAUUUCAACUCUAGAGUGAUUAAUAGACAAAGACUAUCAAUAAAUCAAAUGUUUUCUGCUGAGGCAUUGAAGACAUGAAACCGAAAACAAAAGUCGUUCUGCGCGUUCAUAAGAGACUUCUACAAAUUAUGACGUCACAAUAGAAAUACAUCGAAGUUUUCAAGCAAAAUUAUAGAAUUUUGAUAUCUGUUUAUGGAAUCGAUGUAUAAUUUUUUUUUAAAAACCGGAGCAGCAAUACCAAAACAAACAAGGCCACUUUUAUGCAUGAAAAUAUCAACUCCUGCACAUACAUAGUUCAAUAUAUAAGAAUAUGUUUAACCCCCACCCCUGUAGGCAAUAAAGAAAUAAACAUAUAAGUAUAUAAAACGUUUAAAGAGGAAUACGUUAAGGAAUAAAUUAGAAUCGUAAUAUGGUAUACUCUUACCACAAAAGAUGUUGACUACUGUAUAAAGCGUGACGGUAGUGGAUUGAGAGUUGUUAAGAAGAUGGACACUAUCUUCCAUUUUAUAAUCCAUCGUCCUUAAAAGUGGAUUUGAUUGAUGGAAAUUGUGUGGAAUCCCGUCGUAUGUACGUGUGUAAAUGUGUGUAUGUAAUUGUGUUGUGUUGUCCCCCACAACCACUUGACAACCAUCGUUGGUUUGUUUACGUCUCUAUAACUUGGAGAUUUGGCAAAAGAAACUGAUAGAAUAAGUACCAGGCUUUAAGAAGUACUGCAGUUGAACUUGUUUGACUAAACCCUUCAAGAUUGUACCCUGACACAACCGCAAUUCAAUGACUGAAACAAGUAAAAGAUAAAAGAUUAAUGACAGACAAGGCCGACUGAAGGUCCUAGCAAACUUAAGCAAUCACUAGGGAUGUUCCAAAUACAAUUCCAAAAAUGUGAAAAUAAAAAAAUAAAAUGAAAUAAAAACAAAAUAUUCUUUUAAAUCACUGAGAGGAGACAAACUUAUAAUUAUAAAAUGACAUAUAGAUAAUAUAGACUGCACCAGCAAAAAUCGGAAGUACAACUCAGCAGACACUGCAACAUCUGUGAUGAAAUACA